GAUGAACGCUAGCGGCAGGCUUAAUACAUGCAAGUUGAGGGGCAGCAUGAUAUACGCAAGUAUAUUGAUGGCGACCGGCGGACGGGUGAGUAAAAGGUAGGAGACCUACCUCAUACAGGGGGAUAGCAUAGAGAAAUCUGUGGUAAUACCCCAUGAGGUUAUAUGAAUAGAGGCAUAUAAUCAAAGUAUACGAGAGUAUGCGGUAUGAGAUGGGCCUACUGACCAUUAGCUAGUUGGUGAGGUAAGGGCUCACCAAGGCGAAGAUGGUUAGGGGUUUUGAGAGAGAGAUCCCCCACAUUGGAACUGAGAUACGGUCCAGACUCCUACGGGAGGCAGCAGUAGGGAAUAUUGGGCAAUGGGCGAAAGCCUGACCCAGCCAUGCCGCGUGAAGGAAGACGGCCUUAUGGGUUGUAAACUUCUUUACUAUACGAAUAGAGGUUAGUACGAGUUACUAAUAGGAAGGUAGUAUAGCAAAAGCACCGGCUAACUCCGUAG
Molecule: ribosomal RNA, 495 nt
Filed under: uncultured bacterium
Lineage: Bacteria
Description: bacterial SSU rRNA
Rfam family: Bacterial small subunit ribosomal RNA
Source: RNAcentral